GAUGAACGCUGGCGGCGUGCCUAAUACAUGCAAGUCGAGCGAACAGACGAGGAGCUUGCUCCUCUGACGUUAGCGGCGGACGGGUGAGUAACACGUGGAUAACCUACCUAUAAGACUGGGAUAACUUCGGGAAGCCGGAGCUAAUACCGGAUAAUAUAUUGAACCGCAUGGUUCAAUAGUGAAAGACGGUUUUGCUGUCACUUAUAGAUGGAUCCGCGCCGCAUUAGCUAGUUGGUAAGGUAACGGCUUACCAAGGCGACGAUGCGUAGCCGACCUGAGAGGGUGAUCGGCCACACUGGAACUGAGACACGGUCCAGACUCCUACGGGAGGCAGCAGUAGGGAAUCUUCCGCAAUGGGCGAAAGCCUGACGGAGCAACGCCGCGUGAGUGAUGAAGGUCUUCGGAUCGUAAAACUCUGUUAUUAGGGAAGAACAAAUGUGUCAGUAACUAUGCACGUCUUGACGGUACCUAAUCAGAAAGCCACGGCUAACUACGUG
Molecule: ribosomal RNA, 497 nt
Filed under: uncultured bacterium
Lineage: Bacteria
Description: partial 16S ribosomal RNA
Rfam family: Bacterial small subunit ribosomal RNA
Source: RNAcentral